CACCUCGGACUCGCCCGGAGCUCCGCCCUUCCCUUAGCCCACCUGGACGGAAAGGAAACGGACGGGCAGCUCGGGCCACGCCUCUCACUGUGGGCCCCGCGACAUUUCCGGGCUGGGAGAAGCCGAAGCCCGUAACCUCCAGUUCCCCGCAGCUUGAGGCCACCAGCGCCUGGAGAUUUUCAAACACACUCAAAGAGCUGGGAGGAGCCUGGCGGGGCCACGAAGGAGGGCAGUACUGACUCAUCACGAACCUCCAGGGCCCGGAGCCAGGGCGGCCUGGGCCCAGAGCCUCAGUCCCCUGCAGCCAGAUCGCACCUGACUGACCAUCUCAAAAAAGAACCAGAACAAUCUCCUUGUGCUUUCCCUGAGCUGGUGAAGCUGGUAAAAAUCACUGAAAAUGAGGAAAGUAAAUUAACACAAGGAAGAAGCAGGACAAGGGGGAUUCUGUCCUCCUGACUACUGAGUUAACUGCAAUGAAAACAAAGUACAAAGGACUGCUAGUUCUGUGCAUAUAUUUACAUAGAAAUGUGCAAUUUUUUUUAAAAGGGGCCUUCCUGGUGUUUCUUUACUUAUGGGUUUAAUUUUUUAUCUCCUCAAUGUCCACCAGGAGGGCUCUGUUAAUAUUUACGUCGUGGGCCUUCCUGAGGAUGAGUUCAUUUCAGUCAUUGCUAAUCAAC
Molecule: long non-coding RNA, 677 nt
Organism: Heterocephalus glaber (naked mole-rat)
Lineage: Eukaryota; Metazoa; Chordata; Mammalia; Rodentia; Bathyergidae
Source: Ensembl